GCAAGUCGAACGAACUCUUCGGAGUUAGUGGCGGACGGGUGAGUAACGCGUAGGAACCUACCAAGCAGUGGGGAAUAACAGCUGGAAACGGCUGCUAAUACCGCAUACGCCCUUCGGGGGAAAGAUUUAUCGCUGUUUGAGGGUCCUGCGUUCGAUUAGCUUGUUGGUGUGGUAACGGCGCACCAAGGCGACGAUCGAUAGCUGGUCUGAGAGGAUGAUC
RNAcentral lists this ribosomal RNA (220 nucleotides) under uncultured bacterium. Its description in RNAcentral is "partial 16S ribosomal RNA". It matches the Rfam family "Bacterial small subunit ribosomal RNA", at positions 57 to 305 of the family's 1533-position model. The record is from RNAcentral.